This 499-nucleotide ribosomal RNA is filed under the name uncultured bacterium. Its description in RNAcentral is "partial 16S ribosomal RNA". It matches the Rfam family "Bacterial small subunit ribosomal RNA", at positions 899 to 1397 of the family's 1533-position model. The record is from RNAcentral.
ACUCAAAUGAAUUGACGGGGGCCCGCACAAGCGGUGGAUCAUGUGGUUUAAUUCGAAGCAACGCGAAAAACCUUACCUAGGCUUGACAUCCUCUGACCGCUGCAGAAAUGCAGUUUUCGUAGCAAUACGACAGAGAGACAGGUGCUGCAUGGCUGUCGUCAGCUCGUGUGGUGACAUGUUGGGUUAAGUCCCUUAACGAGCGCAACCCCUGCUAUUAGUUGCCACCAUUAAGUUGGGCACUCUAAUAGGACUGCCGUGGUUAACACGGAGGAAGGUGGGGAUGACGUCAAGUCCUCAUGGCCUUUAUGCCUAGGGCGACACACGUGAUACAAUGGACGGUACAAAGAGAAGCGAAUGGGUGACCACAAGCAAAUCUCAAAAAACCGUUCUCAGUUCGGAUUGAAGUCUGCAACUCGACUUCAUGAAGGUGGAAUCGCUAGUAAUCGUGGAUCAGCACGCCACGGUGAAUACGUUCCCGGGCCUUGCACACACCGCCCGU